This 1283-nucleotide long non-coding RNA is filed under the name Manacus vitellinus (golden-collared manakin). RNAcentral's name for it is "lncRNA (ENSMVIG00005003281.1)". Lineage: Eukaryota; Metazoa; Chordata; Aves; Passeriformes; Pipridae. The record is from RNAcentral.
AUUCCGGCCUUAAACACCCCCAAUGGUCUCGUGUCCAUCCCGUGUCCAUCCCGUGUCCGUCCCGUGUCCAUCCCGUGUUGAAUUCCUGCUGAUUCCGGCCUUAAAGCCCCGGUCCCGUGGCUCCCGUGUCCGUCCUGUGUCCGUCCCAUGUCGGGGUCUCGUGUCAUCACGUGUUGGUUCCGUGUCGGUCCUGGUGGUGCCUUAUCCCGUGUCAGUCCCGUGUCAGUCCCGUGUCGUUCCCGUGUCGUCCCUCUCCCCGUGUUCCCUGCCAAUGGUGCCUUAAUCCCACGGGAAUCCCGUGUCAAUCCCAUGUAAAUCCCAUGUCAAUCCCACGGGAAUCCCGUGUCAAUCCCAUGUAAACCCCCUGUCAAUCCCAUGUAAAUACCAUGUCAAUCCUACGGGAAUCCUGUGUCAAUCCCAUGUAAAUCCCGUGUCAAUCCCAUGGGAAUCCCAUGUCAAUCCUACUGGAAUCCCGUGUCAAUCCCAUGUAAACCCCAUGUCAAUCCCAUGUAAAUCCCGUGUCAAUCCCAUGGGAAUCCCGUGUCAAUCCUACUGGAAUCCCGUGUCAAUCCCAUGUAAACCCCAUGUCAAUCCCAUGUAAAUCCCGUGUCAAUCCCAUGUAUUUCCUGUGUCAAUCCCAUAUAAAUCCCGUGUCAAUCCCAUGUAAAUCCCAUGUCAAUCCUGUGUAGUCCAGCCCGAGUUUAUCCCAUGUAAAUCCCGUGUCAAUCCCGUGUAAGUCCCAUGUCAAUCCCAUGUCAAUCCCGUGUAGUCCAGCCCGAGUUUAUCCCGUGCCAAUCCCGUGUCAUUCCCGUGUUGUUCCCGUGUCAAUCCUUCCCUCCAUCCCCCCCCCCGUCCAGGGCAUUAAUUACCCCCCGUUAACGAGCCACAAACUCUCAGGACAAGGGGCCAGUGACCUCCCCCCUCCUGGGCUAAUUAGCCCCCAUCUCUUAAUUAUUCCAGGCCAAUUCGCCCCCAUCUCUUAAUUAUUCUGGGCUAAUUAGCCCCUCUCUGUUAAUUAUCCCGGGCUAACUGAUCUCCCUGGGUUAAUUAGCCUCGUGGGUUAAUUAUUCGGGGUUGGUCGCCCCGUGGAUUGAUUAGUCAGGGCUAAUUGGCCCAACUGCCUGAUUAUUCGAGGUUAAUUAGCCCACCCCAAUAAUUCGUUCCAGGUUAAUUGUUAUCGAUGAUUCCAGAUUAAUUAGCCCAGUUAAUGUAUUAUUCAAGGUUAAUUAAUCCCAUUAAUGUAUUAUUUGAGGCUAAUUAGUGCCAUUAAUGUAUUAUUUGAG